AUCUGGCUCCUUCGGAGUCCGAGUUGUAAUUUGUAGAAGAUGCUUUGGGUUGUGGGUUCGGCCUAAGUUCCUUGGAACAGGACGUCAUAGAGGGUGAGAAUCCCGUAUGUGGCCGAGGCCUGCGCCUAUGUAAAGCUCUUUCGACGAGUCGAGUUGUUUGGGAAUGCAGCUCAAAAUGGGUGGUAAAUUUCAUCUAAAGCUAAAUAUGGGCCAGAGACCGAUAGCGCACAAGUAGAGUGAUCGAAAGAUGAAAAGCACUUUGGAAAGAGAGUUAAACAGUACGUGAAAUUGUUGAAAGGGAAGCGCUUGCAACCAGACUUGGGCGCUGCCGAUCACCCCGAGUUCUCUCAGGUGCACUCGACAGCGCACAGGCCAGCAUCGGUUCGGAUGGUUGGAUAAAGGCCGUAGGAACGUAGCUCCCUUCGGGGAGUGUUAUAGCCUACGGUGCCAUGCAGCCCAACCGGACCGAGGACCGCGCCUUCGGGCUAGGAUGCUGGCGUAAUGGUUGUAAGCGACCCGUCUUGAAACACGGACCAAGGAGUCUAACAUCUAUGCGAGUGUUUGGGCGUUAAACCCAUACGCGGAAUGAAAGUGAACGUAGGUGAGAACCCCUUUGGGGCGCAUCAUCGACCGAUCCUGAUGUCUUCGGAUGGAUUUGAGUAAGAGCAUA
RNAcentral lists this ribosomal RNA (670 nucleotides) under Erysiphe viburni. Its description in RNAcentral is "partial large subunit ribosomal RNA". It matches the Rfam family "Eukaryotic large subunit ribosomal RNA", at positions 120 to 804 of the family's 3401-position model. The record is from RNAcentral. Lineage: Eukaryota; Fungi; Ascomycota; Leotiomycetes; Helotiales; Erysiphaceae.